UAGUGGCGAACGGGUGAGUAACACGUGGGCAAUCUGCCCUUCACUCUGGGACAAGCCCUGGAAACGGGGUCUAAUACCGGAUAACACCUGCCCGGGCAUCCGGGUGGGUUAAAAGCUCCGGCGGUGAAGGAUGAGCCCGCGGCCUAUCAGCUUGUUGGUGAGGUAGUGGCUCACCAAGGCGACGACGGGUAGCCGGCCUGAGAGGGCGACCGGCCACACUGGGACUGAGACACGGCCCAGACUCCUACGGGAGGCAGCAGUGGGGAAUAUUGCACAAUGGGCGAAAGCCUGAUGCAGCGACGCCGCGUGAGGGAUGACGGCCUUCGGGUUGUAAACCUCUUUCAGCAGGGAAGAAGCGAAAGUGACGGUACCUGCAGAAGAAGCGCCGGCUAACUACGUGCCAGCAGCCGCGGUAAUACGUAGGGCGCAAGCGUUGUCCGGAAUUAUUGGGCGUAAAGAGCUCGUAGGCGGCUUGUCACGUCGGGUGUGAAAGCCCGGGGCUUAACCCCGGGUCUGCAUUCGAUACGGGCUAGCUAG
RNAcentral lists this ribosomal RNA (537 nucleotides) under Streptomyces sp. 310H05. Its description in RNAcentral is "bacterial SSU rRNA". It matches the Rfam family "Bacterial small subunit ribosomal RNA", at positions 93 to 644 of the family's 1533-position model. The record is from RNAcentral. Lineage: Bacteria; Bacillati; Actinomycetota; Actinomycetes; Kitasatosporales; Streptomycetaceae.